Molecule: ribosomal RNA, 492 nt
Filed under: uncultured bacterium
Lineage: Bacteria
Description: bacterial SSU rRNA
Rfam family: Bacterial small subunit ribosomal RNA
Source: RNAcentral
AUUGAACGCUGGCGGAAUGCUUUACACAUGCAAGUCGAACGGCAGCACGGGGCAACCUGGUGGCGAGUGGCGAACGGGUGAGUAAUACAUCGGAACGUGCCCAAUCGUGGGGGAUAACGUAGCGAAAGUUACGCUAAUACCGCAUACGAUCUACGGAUGAAAGCGGGGGAUCGCAAGACCUCGCGCGAAUGGAGCGGCCGAUGUCAGAUUAGGUAGUUGGUGGGGUAAAGGCUCACCAAGCCAACGAUCUGUAGCUGGUCUGAGAGGACGACCAGCCACACUGGAACUGAGACACGGUCCAGACUCCUACGGGAGGCAGCAGUGGGGAAUUUUGGACAAUGGGCGCAAGCCUGAUCCAGCCAUUCCGCGUGCAGGAUGAAGGCCUUCGGUUGUAAACUGCUUUGUACGGUAACGAAACGGCGAGCUCUAAUACAGUUUGCUAAUGACGGUACCGUAAGAAUAAGACACCGGCUAACUACGUGCCAGCAGCCG